Molecule: ribosomal RNA, 253 nt
Filed under: uncultured bacterium
Lineage: Bacteria
Description: partial 16S ribosomal RNA
Rfam family: Bacterial small subunit ribosomal RNA
Source: RNAcentral
UACGUAGGUGGCAAGCGUUAUCCGGAUUUACUGGGUGUAAAGGGAGCGUAGACGGCAUGGCAAGCCAGAUGUGAAAUACCGGGGCUCAACCCCGGGACUGCAUUUGGAACUGUUAAGCUGGAGUGUCGGAGAGGCAGGCGGAAUUCCUAGUGUAGCGGUGAAAUGCGUAGAUAUUAGGAGGAACACCAGUGGCGAAGGCGGCCUGCUGGACGAUGACUGACGUUGAGGCUCGAAAGCGUGGGGAGCAAACAGG